Molecule: ribosomal RNA, 509 nt
Filed under: uncultured bacterium
Lineage: Bacteria
Description: bacterial SSU rRNA
Rfam family: Bacterial small subunit ribosomal RNA
Source: RNAcentral
AGAUUGAACGCUGGCGGCAGGCCUAACACAUGCAAGUCGAGCGGCAGCACAAGGGAGUUUACUUCUGAGGUGGCGAGCGGCGGACGGGUGAGUAAUGCCUAGGGAUCUGCCCAGUCGAGGGGGAUAACAGUUGGAAACGACUGCUAAUACCGCAUACGCCCUACGGGGGAAAGGAGGGGACCUUCGGGCCUUCCGCGAUUGGAUGAACCUAGGUGGGAUUAGCUAGUUGGUGAGGUAAUGGCUCACCAAGGCGACGAUCCCUAGCUGUUCUGAGAGGAUGAUCAGCCACACUGGGACUGAGACACGGCCCAGACUCCUACGGGAGGCAGCAGUGGGGAAUAUUGCACAAUGGGGGAAACCCUGAUGCAGCCAUGCCGCGUGUGUGAAGAAGGCCUUCGGGUUGUAAAGCACUUUCAGUAGGGAGGAAAGGGUGUAGUUUAAUACGCUAUAUCUGUGACGUUACCUACAGAAGAAGGACCGGCUAACUCCGUGCCAGCAGCCGCGGUAAU